UUAUUAAGAUAUUUGAAUAUUUGAUGACAAUAAAACUGUUAGAAAACUGGUUAUUUGUCUGUGUUUUUCAGGUACGUCUCAGAUAAACUGCUUAAGUGGAAGUAAUGUUGAAAUCGGUACUGUUGAAGAGGAAUACAGCGUCAGGUAUUAAGGAGCAGUAAAGACACUCUGCUGAAGUACAGCAGUGUUAUAAAAGAGAUGUGGAGAUUGUCACUAAUAUCCAGCCGUCUGACGUGCUGGUUCUGGAACCGUACGCUUUUCCUAUUGGGCUGACGUUUGUGGAGCUCGUCCAUUCACCUGGAGCUCCGACCGCAACCAUCAGAACCACCAAACCUCUGGAUGCUGACCAGAUGAAGGAGGUGGGCACUGUGUAGAGUCAUUUUCCCAUAAAAUUAAAUACUGUAAUUCAUUUUCUCCAUUAAUACAUCUU
RNAcentral lists this long non-coding RNA (430 nucleotides) under Astyanax mexicanus (Mexican tetra). RNAcentral's name for it is "lncRNA (ENSAMXG00005011958.1)". Lineage: Eukaryota; Metazoa; Chordata; Actinopteri; Characiformes; Acestrorhamphidae. The record is from RNAcentral.